GGGCUCAUAGCUCAGUUGGCAGAGCGCGUCGCUGAUAACGACGAGGUCCCAGGUUCAAGUCCUGGUGGGCCCA
This 73-nucleotide transfer RNA is filed under the name Phycisphaerae bacterium. RNAcentral describes it as "tRNA-Ile". It matches the Rfam family "tRNA". Rfam says of the family: Transfer RNA (tRNA) molecules are approximately 80 nucleotides in length. Their secondary structure includes four short double-helical elements and three loops (D, anti-codon, and T loops). Further hydrogen bonds mediate the characteristic L-shaped molecular structure. tRNAs have two regions of fundamental functional importance: the anti-codon, which is responsible for specific mRNA codon recognition, and the 3' end, to which the tRNAs corresponding amino acid is attached (by aminoacyl-tRNA synthetases). tRNAs cope with the degeneracy of the genetic code in two manners: having more than one tRNA (with a specific anti-codon) for a particular amino acid; and 'wobble' base-pairing, i.e. permitting non-standard base-pairing at the 3rd anti-codon position. RNAcentral also lists the same sequence under 3 other names. Lineage: Bacteria; Pseudomonadati; Planctomycetota; Phycisphaerae. The record is from RNAcentral.